This 475-nucleotide ribosomal RNA is filed under the name uncultured organism. RNAcentral's name for it is "partial 16S ribosomal RNA". It matches the Rfam family "Bacterial small subunit ribosomal RNA", at positions 333 to 799 of the family's 1533-position model. The record is from RNAcentral.
ACACUCCUACGGGAGGCAGCAGUGGGGAAUUUUGGACAAUGGGCGAAAGCCUGAUCCAGCAAUGCCGCGUGUGUGAAGAAGGCCUUCGGGUUGUAAAGCACUUUUGUCCGGAAAGAAAUCCUUGGCUCUAAUACAGUCGGGGGAUGACGGUACCGGAAGAAUAAGCACCGGCUAACUACGUGCCAGCAGCCGCGGUAAUACGUAGGGUGCGAGCGUUAAUCGGAAUUACUGGGCGUAAAGCGUGCGCAGGCGGUUUGCUAAGACCGAUGUGAAAUCCCCGGGCUCAACCUGGGAACUGCAUUGGUGACUGGCAGGCUAGAGUAUGGCAGAGGGGGGUAGAAUUCCACGUGUAGCAGUGAAAUGCGUAGAGAUGUGGAGGAAUACCGAUGGCGAAGGCAGCCCCCUGGGCCAAUACUGACGCUCAUGCACGAAAGCGUGGAGAGCAAACAGGAUUAGAUACCCCUGUAGUCCCAUG